GAUGAACGCUGGCGGCGUGCCUAAUACAUGCAAGUCGAGCGAACGGACGAGAAGCUUGCUUUUCUGAUGUUAGCGGCGGACGGGUGAGUAACACGUGGAUAACCUACCUAUAAGACUGGGAUAACUUCGGGAAACCGGAGCUAAUACCGGAUAAUAUUUUGAACCGCAUGGUUCAAAAGUGAAAGACGGUCUUGCUGUCACUUAUAGAUGGAUCCGCGCUGCAUUAGCUAGUUGGUAAGGUAACGGCUUACCAAGGCAACGAUGCAUAGCCGACCUGAGAGGAGGAUCAGACACACGAGAACUGAGACACGGUCCAGACUCUGACGGGAGGCAGCCGUAGGGAAUCGUCCGCGAUGGGCGAAAGCCUGACGGAGUAACGCCACGUGAGUCAUGAAGGUCUUCGGAUCGGAAAACUCUGUUAUUAGGGAAGAACAUAUGUGUAAGUAUCUGUGCACAUCUUGACGGUACCUAAUCAGAAAGCCACGGCUAACUACGUG
Molecule: ribosomal RNA, 497 nt
Filed under: uncultured bacterium
Lineage: Bacteria
Description: partial 16S ribosomal RNA
Rfam family: Bacterial small subunit ribosomal RNA
Source: RNAcentral